GAGAAUCAUCUCUCCCAGACAAUGGCACUCUCAAACAAGUUUCCAAGUUGUUUGAAAGGCUAUUUCUUGGUCAGAUGACUCUC
This 83-nucleotide microRNA precursor is filed under the name Sapajus apella (tufted capuchin). RNAcentral's name for it is "Cebus apella (Tufted capuchin) mir-488 microRNA precursor family". It matches the Rfam family "mir-488 microRNA precursor family". RNAcentral also lists the same sequence under 1 other name. The record is from Rfam by way of RNAcentral. Lineage: Eukaryota; Metazoa; Chordata; Mammalia; Primates; Cebidae.